CGCACCUUGCGCUCCUUGGUAUUCCGAGGAGCAUGCCUGUUUGAGUGUCGUGAAAUCAUCAACUCCCUAUCUUUAUUGAUAGGUGAGAUUGGACUUGGGGAUUGCUGGUUUUGUAUCGGCUUCCCUUGAAUGCAUUAGCUGGAAGUUCAUUUGCAGCAUAUAUGCGGUGUGAUAAUGUCGUCACUGUGUAGCUCAUUGUGAAUCUAGCUUCUAAUCGCCCUUUAAACGGGACAAUUUGAUCAUUUUUGGCCUCAAAUCAGGUAGGACUACCCGCUGAACUUAA
Molecule: unclassified non-coding RNA, 283 nt
Filed under: Xylodon asperus
Lineage: Eukaryota; Fungi; Basidiomycota; Agaricomycetes; Hymenochaetales; Schizoporaceae
Description: Xylodon asper partial contains 5.8S ribosomal RNA, internal transcribed spacer 2, and large subunit ribosomal RNA
Source: RNAcentral